ACAGACUCUCAUGCAGAAGUUUACUAGCCUCCAAACGGCCCAGAGCAGCUGUCACUUUCCUCUGCGCGCUCUUAGUGACCUCUUGAGCCUUCUGCACCGCAGAUUUACAUGAAGAACGAAGCUUGUCUGUGCGCACGACUUCUGCUUGGAGUGCAGCUGGCGGUAAGAACUUUGGGGCCCUCGAGCUCAUCACUUAUACCAGUCCAGAUCUUUGGAGCUUUUCAAGAUAUUGACGUCAUGCUAUGGUGAAUGUCUCUGAUGAACUAGAACGGACAUAACUUCGAGUUCGCAACGAAUAUUGCAGGAAAGACCAGAUCAUGCAGGUCUCGAUGCGAUCAGAAGCGUGUGUGAGUGCUCUGGAGCACAGCAAGAAUUUCGAAUGCAGACAAGUUACAUGACGGUUUCAAGGAUACCCUUGGCAUAAUACGGGUUAAAAAAUUGUUCGUAUAGUAGAAGUGCGUUCCUG
RNAcentral lists this long non-coding RNA (466 nucleotides) under Coccomyxa subellipsoidea. RNAcentral describes it as "long non-coding RNA (CSUB_LNC000696)". The record is from RNAcentral. Lineage: Eukaryota; Viridiplantae; Chlorophyta; Trebouxiophyceae; Coccomyxaceae.